UGUAUAUGAAGCCUGACGAGGAUGAGAACCUCCGGGGGCAAGAGGUUCGACUCGAGCGAAGCGAGAGAACGUUGCGUCAGCAACGGCCCGCAGGGCGAGCCACGCAGUGGCGAGUCAUCCUCUAUCACCGACCA
This 134-nucleotide small RNA is filed under the name Salmonella enterica. RNAcentral's name for it is "RtT sRNA". It matches the Rfam family "RtT RNA". From Rfam's summary of the family: This family represents a bacterial cis-regulatory element known as RtT RNA. The record is from RNAcentral. Lineage: Bacteria; Pseudomonadati; Pseudomonadota; Gammaproteobacteria; Enterobacterales; Enterobacteriaceae.